This 1357-nucleotide ribosomal RNA is filed under the name uncultured bacterium. Its description in RNAcentral is "partial 16S ribosomal RNA". It matches the Rfam family "Bacterial small subunit ribosomal RNA". The record is from RNAcentral.
GAGUUUGAUCCUGGCUCAGCCUGAACGCUGGCGGCGUGGCUAAGACAUGCAAGUCGUACGGGUGUAGCAAUACACCCGUGGCGGACGGGUGAGUAAUGAAUCGCUAAUGUACCCCGGACUCUGGGAUAGCCGGUCGAAAGGCCGGGUAAUACCAGAUGAUAUGGCGACAGGGCAUCCUGUUGACCUCAAAGGGAAACCGGUCUGGGUGCAGGCGAUUUCGUAUCAGGUAGUUGGUGCGGGUAACGGCCCACCAAGCCGACGACGCGUAGCUGGUCUGAGAGGACGGCCAGCCGCAUUGGGACUGAGACACUGCCCAGACUCCUACGGGGGGCUGCAGUAACGAAUCUUCCGCAAUGCACGCAAGUGUGACGGAGCGACGCCGCGUGGAGGUUAAGUCCUUCGGGAUGUAAACUCCUGUCAGGGGUUACCAAGUUCUGAGGAGCCCCAGAGGAAGGCACGGCUAACUCUGUGCCAGCAGCCGCGGUAAGACAGAGGUUGCAAACGUUGUUCGGAAUCACUGGGCAUAAAGCGCACGUAGGCGGCCAACUAAGUCAGAUGUGAAAUCCCCCGGCUCAACCGAGGAACUGCGUCUGAUACUGAUUGGCUUGAGAACGGUAGGGGUGAGCGGAACUCCAGGUGGAGCGGUGAAAUGCGUAGAUAUCUGGAGGAACACCGGUGGCGAAAGCGGCUCACUGGACCGUAACUGACGCUGAGGUGCGAAAGCUAGGGUAGCAAACGGGAUUAGAUACCCCGGUAGUCCUAGCCGUAAACGAUGGGCACUUGGUAAGGGGGAUUCCUAUGGUCCUCCUUGCCGUAGCUAAUGUGUUAAGUGCCCCGCCUGGGGAGUACGCUCGCAAGGGUAAAACUCAAAGGAAUUGACGGGGACCCGCACAAGCGGUGGAUUAUGUGGAUUAAUUCGAUGCAACGCGAAAAACCUUACCUACCCUUGACAUGUACGGAAUUUCCCAGAGAUGGGAAAGUGCCCGAAAGGGAACCGUAACACAGGUGCUGCAUGGCUGUCGUCAGCUCGUGUCGUGAGAUGUUGGGUUAAGUCCCGCAACGAGCGCAGCCCUUGUCGUUAGUUACCAGCACAUUAUGGUGGGCACUCUAAGGAGACUGCCGGUGACAAACCGGAGGAAGGUGGGGAUGACGUCAAGUCAUCAUGGCCCUUACGGCCUGGGCUACACACGUGCUACAAUGGUCGGUACAGAGGGUUGCCAAGCCGCGAGGUGGAGCUAAUCCCAGAAAACCGAUCGUAGUCCGGAUCGCAGUCUGCAACUCGACUGCGUGAAGUCGGAAUCGCUAGUAAUCGCGAAUCAGAAUGUCGCGGUGAAUACGUUCCCGGGCCUGCACACAC